CUCUAAUAUAUCUUGGGCUGCACGCGUACUACAAUGGUGCUACCAACAGGCAAGCACUGUUCACGUCAGCUCUCCAGCUAGACUGAUUCUCCCACGUUAACGAAAGAACGGAGGUAAACCCUAAAGUGGCAUCCUGUCUGGAAUAGAAGGCUGUAACGCCGGCUUGAACGAGGAAUCCCCCGUAAGCGUGAGUCAACAUCCCGCAUUGACUACGUCCCUGCCUUUUGUACACACCGCCCGUCGCUCCUACCGUUAGUCCAGUUGGUCAGUGCUAUGAUCGUCGAGCCGCAAGGCUGGUUAUUGUAGCGCGAACCUGUUGGGCAGCAGGAAGGAGAAGUCGUAACA
This 345-nucleotide ribosomal RNA is filed under the name uncultured eukaryote. RNAcentral's name for it is "partial 18S ribosomal RNA". It matches the Rfam family "Eukaryotic small subunit ribosomal RNA", at positions 1470 to 1796 of the family's 1831-position model. The record is from RNAcentral.